RNAcentral lists this ribosomal RNA (767 nucleotides) under uncultured bacterium. Its description in RNAcentral is "bacterial SSU rRNA". It matches the Rfam family "Bacterial small subunit ribosomal RNA", at positions 28 to 776 of the family's 1533-position model. The record is from RNAcentral.
GACUAACGUUGGCGGCGUGCCUAAUACAUGCAAGUCGUACGAGGUGGGGGCAACUCCACCUAGUGGCGAACGGGUGAGUAACACGUGGAUGAUCUACCUCCAAGAUUGGGACAACCAGCCGAAAGGUUGGCUAAUACCGAAUAUGACCACGGCCAGUAUCAUCUGGCUGAGGUAAAAGAUGGGGACCGCAAGGCCUAUCACUUGGGAAUGAGUCCGCGGCUGAUUAGCUAGUUGGCGGGGUAAUGGCCCACCAAGGCGACGAUCAGUAGCCGGCCUGAGAGGGUGAACGGCCACACUGGAACUGAGAUACGGUCCAGACUCCUACGGGAGGCAGCAGUAGGGAAUUUUCCACAAUGGGCGCAAGCCUGAUGGAGCAACGCCGCGUGAGGGAUGAAGGUUUUCGGAUUGUAAACCUCUUUGAAGUGGGAAGAACGAUUUGCGGAUCAACAACCCGCAGAAGUGACGGUACCACUAAAACAAGUCACGGCUAACUCUGUGCCAGCAGCCGCGGUAAUACAGAGGUGACGAACGUUGUCCGGAAUCACUGGGCGUAAAGGGCGUGUAGGCGGUUGAUUAAGUCAGAUGUGAAAUCUCUUGGCUCAACCAGGAAAUUGCAUUUGAAACUGAUCAGCUAGAGUUCGGUAGAGGAAGGCGGAAUUCCAGGUGUAGCGGUGAAAUGCGUAGAUAUCUGGAGGAACACCUGUGGCGAAGGCGGCUUUCUGGUCCGAUACUGACGCUGAAACGCGAAAGCUAGGGGAGCAAACAGG